AUACGUAGGUGGCGAGCGUUGUCCGGAAUUACUGGGUGUAAAGGGCGUGUAGGCGGGGGAGCAAGUCAGAUGUGAAAUCCCGGGGCUCAACUCCGGAGUUGCAUCUGAAACUGUUUUUCUUGAGUGCUGGAGAGGAAAGCGGAAUUCCUAGUGUAGCGGUGAAAUGCGUAGAUAUUAGGAGGAACACCAGUGGCGAAGGCGGCUUUCUGGACAGUAACUGACGCUGAGGCGCGAAAGCGUGGGGAGCAAACAGGAUUAGAUACCCUGGUAGUCCACGCCGUAAACGAUGGAUACUAGGUGUAGGAGGUAUCGACCCCUUCUGUGCCGGAGUUAACACAAUAAGUAUCCCACCUGGGGAGUACGGCCGCAAGGCUGAA
This 377-nucleotide ribosomal RNA is filed under the name uncultured bacterium. RNAcentral's name for it is "bacterial SSU rRNA". It matches the Rfam family "Bacterial small subunit ribosomal RNA", at positions 523 to 898 of the family's 1533-position model. The record is from RNAcentral.